This 371-nucleotide ribosomal RNA is filed under the name uncultured soil bacterium. RNAcentral's name for it is "bacterial SSU rRNA". It matches the Rfam family "Bacterial small subunit ribosomal RNA", at positions 26 to 410 of the family's 1533-position model. The record is from RNAcentral.
AGAUUGAACGCUGGCGGCAUGCCUAACACAUGCAAGUCGAACGGGAGUAGCAAUACUCUAGUGGCGGACGGGUGAGGAAUACGUAGGAAUUUGCCCUUAAGUGGGGGAUAACCCGGGGAAACCCGGAUUAAUACCGCAUGACCUCGAAAGAGCAAAGUGGGGGAUCGCAAGACCUCACGCUUUUGGAGAAGCCUACGUCGGAUUAGCUAGUUGGUGAGGUAAUGGCUCACCAAGGCGACGAUCCGUAACUGGUCUGAGAGGAUGAUCAGUCACACCGGAACUGAGACACGGUCCGGACUCCUACGGGAGCAGCAGUGGGGAAUAUUGGACAAUGGGCGCAAGCCUGAUCCAGCAAUGCCGCGUGUGUGAAG